Molecule: ribosomal RNA, 516 nt
Filed under: Fusarium solani
Lineage: Eukaryota; Fungi; Ascomycota; Sordariomycetes; Hypocreales; Nectriaceae
Description: eukaryotic LSU rRNA
Rfam family: 5.8S ribosomal RNA (bases 129-282)
Source: RNAcentral
CCUGUGACAUACCUAAAACGUUGCCUCGGCGGGAACAGACGGCCCCGUAACACGGGCCGCCCCCGCCAGAGGACCCCCUAACUCUGUUUCUAUAAUGUUUCUUCUGAGUAAACAAGCAAAUAAAUUAAAACUUUCAACAACGGAUCUCUUGGCUCUGGCAUCGAUGAAGAACGCAGCGAAAUGCGAUAAGUAAUGUGAAUUGCAGAAUUCAGUGAAUCAUCGAAUCUUUGAACGCACAUUGCGCCCGCCAGUAUUCUGGCGGGCAUGCCUGUUCGAGCGUCAUUACAACCCUCAGGCCCCCGGGCCUGGCGUUGGGGAUCGGCGGAAGCCCCCUGCGGGCACAACGCCGUCCCCCAAAUACAGUGGCGGUCCCGCCGCAGCUUCCAUUGCGUAGUAGCUAACACCUCGCAACUGGAGAGCGGCGCGGCCACGCCGUAAAACACCCAACUUCUGAAUGUUGACCUCGAAUCAGGUAGGAAUACCCGCUGAACUUAAGCAUAUCAAUAAGCGGAGGAA